Molecule: long non-coding RNA, 5164 nt
Filed under: Sus scrofa (pig)
Lineage: Eukaryota; Metazoa; Chordata; Mammalia; Artiodactyla; Suidae
Description: lncRNA (ENSSSCG00035062575.1)
Source: RNAcentral
UUCCUUUAAUGUCCUUAUUUUUAUCUCAUUGCUGUCUUUGGCUUUCCCUAGAGAUGCUUUCUUAAAUAGAGCUCCAAAUUUGCUAUUCUUUUGGCUGUAUUCCCUUAUUAUAUAGAACCCCUAUUUUGAGGUGGUAAAGGGUAGGGAAAGGAAACUGCCUUAGAGUUCUUUGAUUAGGUCUUGGUAUUUUAGUGAACCUGUGUGCCUGGACAGUAACUUUCACAAAUGUUUCUCAGCUUUCACUCCUACUUCCUCAGAUUAAGUCUGCAUGAGACUGGAGUUGGGUAUUUCCCUUCCCACUUCAAAGACUAGAAGAGACUAGAGUUUGGGUAUUUUCCUUUCUAAGUCAGUCAGGCUCUGGGAAAAGCCAAGUGGAUUUGGCUUUGGUAAUAGUUUGCCUUGAGGAUAGGCCUUUUUAAGGUGAAGAGAAAGCUUGAGGUAUAUUUCAAAACAAUUACUUUACCCCACCUCUGAUAGAAGUUUGAGGGCUCCAGAAGGUAAAUGUCAUAGAAAUGUGGCCCUCUAAGGAUGGGCCCCCAGAAAUUUUAAUCUCUCAAGUUAAUUGAUGCUCAGCCUCCUCUAAUUAGUUAAUUAUACUUGAAGUGUUCUUCCCAGGUGCUGGCUCUAGCAGUGUUUCUGCUCCAGUCAAGAUGUGAUUCUAUUUGCUUAUCUCACCAGUUUGGGGGUAGUUUUUAUGACCUCAAUUCUCUGAUGGAUACUAAAUAGUAUUAUUGAUUAUAAGUCUGUUCAGCAUUUUCUGUGUGUAUACGGAUGGGAUUGAGGACUUCUAAGCUAUUCACCUGUAUGACCAGAGACGAAUUUAUCUUACUAAUUUUUAUAAAAGUAAGAAAGAUGAAAAUCUGGUAUAUUUAUUUCUAGUUUUUUGUUUUCCUGUUAAUUUUGAUGUUUUUUGAUUUACAUAAAUGUUAAAUUUUUAUGAGAAUAUAGCAACAGAAAUUUAUUGAUUUGAAAAUGUCAGCACUGCCUUGUAAAAAUUGAGUUAAUCAUCUAAAUUAAAUGAUGCAAGAUUAGAAGGGUUUAUUUCAAAUGUAAAUUAAAUUUUUUUCUUGAUGUCUUAUAUGUAUAUCAGCCUAAUUAUAAAAGAUUCUAUUUUGAGAUACCAAAUCUUUUUCCAACAAAAUAAUUUUCGCAUAGAUAAAUAUCAACUUGUUCUGAAAAAAAAUCUCAUAGGGAAAAAUUAUUCAACUUUUAUUACAUGACAACAUUUGUAUCAAUUAUAAGUUAUAUUAUUUCUUUUCUUAUGGGAGCUAACAUUUGUACUGUUAUGACCAAUAAAACAUCUUCCAAAAUGAUUGGUGCUGUUGCUCUGGAAAAAUCAAACUGGACUUCAAUUUUAUUCUGAAUUUCUUUGUAAAGUAAUAGUAAAUUAGUGUGACCUCUUUAAAAUCCACAGAUACCAAAGUCAUAUCUAUUGGACCAUUUUGUUUCAUAAAACAAUGGAUGUGUCCCAACUGCUAAAGUAAUUCUGUUAGAGUAUAGUGGAAAAUCUAAGUUAUAAAUGAGGUACAUGGAGCCAACAUCAUCAUCACUCUUUAGGGACAAAAGCACAUAUGGAAACAUUUCAUGGAUUCAUUAAAUAUCAAUCUGAAAUAACAUAACAUCAGUAUUGGUAGCUCAAAAAUGAUAACAGCUGACAGAUGGCAACCAAUUAGAGCAAUUAGCAAUUAACUUGUGUGCCCCUGUCCCACCUUCAUCCUCCUUCACUUGCUCCAUGAAUUCCUAUAAUCCCUGGAAACAUGCCUGAGAUUCAGUCUCUGCUACAGAGCUAUUGGGAUUAUGGAUUUGGGGAAGUUAUUGAAAAUGGUUUUGGAGAGAAAGAGCAUGUCACUCUUAAUAUCUCAUUCAAAAUAUGUCUAUUCUUUUUAAGGAAGAUCUAUUUUGUCUUUUUUUUUUUUUUUUUUUUUUUUUUUUUUUUUUUUUUUUUUUUUUUUUGUCGUUUAGGGCUGUACUCAAUGGCAUAUGGAGGUUCCCAGGCUAGGUAGGGAUUCAUUCGAAACUGUAGCUACAGGCCUAUGCCAGAGCCGUAGCAACACGGGAUCCUAGCCGCAUCUGAGACCUACACCACAGCUCUCAGCAACGCUGGAUUCUUAACCCACUGAGUGAGGCCAGGAAUCAAACCUGCAUCCUCAUGGAUGCUAGUGAGGUUUGUUAACCACUGAGCCAUGAUGGGAACUCCUUUAGGGAGGAUCUAAUUUAAAAUACACUCUAAGAUUAUUUUCUAGAAUGAAAAAGAGUGUUAUAAAUAAGGUUACAGGAGUUCCCGUUGUGGCGCAGUGGUUAAUGAAUCUGACUAGGAACCACGAGGUUGCGGGUUCAAACCCUAAUCUUGCUCUGUGCGUCAGGGAUCCAGCGUUGCUAUAAGCUGUGGUGUAGGUUGAAGAAGUGGCUGGGAUCCCGCAUUGCUAUGGCUCUGGUGUAGGCCAGCUGCUACAGCUCUGAUUGGACCCCUAGCCUGGGAACCUCCGUGUGACGUGGGAGCAGCCUUAGAAAAAAUGCAAAAAGACAAAAAAAAAAAAAGUUUACAAAACUUUUGAAAUAUUUAUAUACUAACACAUAAAUAGUUUUACUUAAUCAGUGAUCCUAUAAAGUAGUUCAAUUCAAAAAACAUUCCCCAAAUAUUUCUUCUUAAAAUGAAGAUAUAUAACCAUGCAUAUUAAAUUUUAUAAAGUCUUUGAUGAUUGUCACCUUAUCAUUAAAAAUAACAUGAAAAUAUUAUAGGUUUAUAUUUACAUGCUUUAUUCAGUUUCCAUAUGUCUAAUACCAGGUCUAUGGUAUUUUUUUCUGAGGACUGUAUUUCUUUAAUAAAGCAAUUUUAGAUUAAAAUUGCUUAAAAUUUUUAUUAGUCACAUUUUAUAGUUAAUGAAAUUUGAAAUUGUUGUCAUCUUUCAUUUACUUUUUUCUGCAACUGUAUUUAAUUGAGAAAAUAUUUUCCCUGUAAGUGCUGAAGUACCUAGUAAGCACAGAGAAAAUUUUAUUUAAAACAUAUUUUAUAUUUUUGUAUCAAAGCAUGUAACUAUUUUCAUUCCCAUUUAGAGAAAUAUUUGUAAGAAAUAUUUAAUAUUUGUAAAAUAUUUGUAAGAUAAAUCUUGUCAAAUAAAAUGUCUCUAAUUGACUGUUUUUAAUAUUUACCAAAUUUAAAUGUUACAGAACUUGAGGAUUUAUCAAUUGAAUUCAAUUCAAGUAAUCAAUAUAAAUUUAUCUAAUUCUGAAUAAGAUUUCCAUCAAAAGAGUAUUCCCACAAGCUGAGAUAUUAAAAAUACAGAGUUUUAGGGAAGUCUCCAUUUGUUGAGUAAUUUUACUAAGUAUUUCCAACUGAUUUUGGACAAAGUGAGACCAAAUUUAAGGGACUCAUUCACACAAAAAGUAUAACACAAUUAUGGGGCACUAAGAGUAAUUUACAAAAUAACUCUUCAAAGGUUCAAACUUCCUAAAAAUUCCUUUGGUUACAGAUAGUAAAAAGAGAAUCUAUAACCAUGAAGAAGUAUUUUUGGGAAAUUCAAUAUAAACUCCAUCACCAGCAAUUAUAGUAUUUGUCUGCAUAGGGUGUGUGCAUGUGUGUGGGUAUGUGUGCAUGUGCAAAGUUUGAUGACUGCACUUCCAUUUCAGUUUGAAGGGUAUCACAGGGUUGGGGGUACAGUUAUGAAAUAUGUGUCUACUGCAACCCAUUUCAAGAAUAUUUCUGUUCUCUAUGCUUUAUUUUUUUCUAAUAAAUUGUGUAGAGUAUAGGUGACUAACAAUUUUUUUUAACUUUCAUAAUGAUUUUUAUUUUCUCCAUUAUAGCUGGUUUACAGCGUUCUGUCAAUUUUCUACUGUACAGAAAGGUGACCCAGUUACACGUACAUGUAACAAUUUUGUGUUGGUUUCAUGUAUAAAGCAAAGGGAAUCAAUUAUACAUGUACAUAUAUUCAUUCUUCUUCAGAUUAUUUCCCCAUAGAGGCGAUCAUAGAGUACUGAAGAAAUUUCCCCAAGCUAUGUAGUAGAUCCUUGCUACUGAUUGAUUUUGCAUAUAGUAGUGUGUACAUGCCAGUCCUAAUCUCUCAAUUCAUCCCUCUCCCAAGUGUUUCCCCUUUGGUAACUAUUAGUUUGGUUUUGACUCUGUUCCUGUUUUGCAUCAUUUUUUAUUAGAUUCCACAUAUCAGUCAUCUCACAUGAUAUUUGUCCUUAUUUGUCUGCCUUACUUCACUGAGUAUGAUAAUUUCCAGGUCCAUCCAUAUUGCUGCAAAUGGCAUUAUAUCAGUCUUUUUUUAUUGCCAAGUAAUAUUCCAUUGUAUAUAUGUGCCAUGUCUUUUAUUUAUUUAUUUAUUUAUUUUUAUUACUCAAAUGAAUUUAUCACAUCUGUAGUUGUAUAAUGAUCAUCACAAUCCAGUUUCACAGGAUUUUCAUCCCACAACCCAAGCACAUCUCCCCACCCCCAAAACCGUCUCCUCUGGAGACCAUAAGUUUUUCAUUGUCUGUGAGUCAGCAUCUGUUCUGCAAAGAAGUUCAAUCUGACCUUUUUUCAGAUUCCACAUGUCAGUGAAAGCAUUUGAUGUUGGUGCCUCAUUGAAUGGCUGACUUCACUUAGCGUGGUAAUUUUUAGGUCCAUCCAUGUUGCAAAAAAUGUUGGUAUUUCGUUCUUUUUAAUGGCUGAAUCAUAUUCCAUUGUGUAUAUGUACCACAUCUUCUUGAUGCACCCCUCUGACGAUGGACAUUUAGGUUGUUUCCAUGUCUUGGCUGUUGAAAAUAGUGCUGCAGUGAACAUUGGAGUACAUGUGUCUUUGCGAGUCGUGGUUUUCUCUGGAUAGGUGCCCAGGAGUGGGAUUUGCACCAUGUCUUCUUUAUCCAGUCCUCCACUGAUGGACAUUUAGGUUGUUUCCAUGUCUUGGCUAUUGAAAAUAGUGCAGCAGAGAGUUCCCAUAGUGGCUCAGUAGUAACGAACCUGACUAGUAUCCAUGAGGAUGUGGGUUCAAUCCCUGGCCUCACUUAGUGGGUUAAAGAUCUAGUAUUGCUGUGAACUGUGGUGUAGGUCACAGAAGUGGCUCAGAUCCUGUGUUGCUGUGGCUGUGGUGUAGGCCUCCAGCUGCAGCUCUGAUUCUACCCCUAGCCUAGGAACUUGCAUAUGCUGCACAUGUGGCCCUAAAUUGCAAAAAAAAAAAAAAAAAAA